This 515-nucleotide ribosomal RNA is filed under the name uncultured bacterium. RNAcentral's name for it is "partial 16S ribosomal RNA". It matches the Rfam family "Bacterial small subunit ribosomal RNA", at positions 28 to 523 of the family's 1533-position model. The record is from RNAcentral.
GAUGAACGCUGGCGGCGUGCCUAAUACAUGCAAGUCGAGCGAAUGGAUUAAGAGCUUGCUCUUAUGAAGUUAGCGGCGGACGGGUGAGUAACACGUGGGUAACCUGCCCAUAAGACUGGGAUAACUCCGGGAAACCGGGGCUAAUACCGGAUAACAUUUUGAACCGCAUGGCUCGAAAUUGAAAGGCGGCUUCGGCUGUCACUUAUGGAUGGACCCGCGUCGCAUUAGCUAGUUGGUGAGGUAACGGCUCACCAAGGCAACGAUGCGUAGCCGACCUGAGAGGGUGGACGGGCACACUGGGACUGGGACACGGCCCAGACUCCUACGGGAGGCAGCAGUAGGGAAUCUUCCGCAAUGGACGAAAGUCUGACGGAGCGACGGCGGGGGAGUGACGAAGGCUGUCGGGUCGUAAAACUCUGUUGUUAGGGAAGAACAAGUGCUAGUUGAAUAAGCUGGCACCUUGACGGUACCUAACCAGAAAGCCACGGCUAACUACGUGCCAGCCGCCGCGGUAA